This 68-nucleotide transfer RNA is filed under the name Eisenia tracta. RNAcentral describes it as "tRNA-Ile". Lineage: Eukaryota; Metazoa; Annelida; Clitellata; Crassiclitellata; Lumbricidae. The record is from RNAcentral.
GAUACAGCGCCGGAUGAACGGAUAACUCUGAUGACGUUAAUUAAGGAACCUAGUUCCCUGUAUCUAUU